RNAcentral lists this unclassified non-coding RNA (473 nucleotides) under Hevea brasiliensis (rubber tree). Lineage: Eukaryota; Viridiplantae; Streptophyta; Magnoliopsida; Malpighiales; Euphorbiaceae. The record is from RNAcentral.
GUUGAACAAGUCGUCCCGUGUCAUUCCUGGCUUCCUCGGAACUCCAGCAGGAAUCACUACAACAUCGACACCCUUCAGAGCAUUGCCUAAUUCUGAUGGUCCGGUGAAAUCGAAAACCUGGGAUGGUGUAUUGCAGUGGCUGAUAUCAGCAGCAACUCCUUUCACGUUAGCAAUAUCAUAAAGAUGCAGAUGAGAGACCAGCGGAGACAUCUUGAUCAGUAGAGUUAAAGGUUGACCGAUUCCUCCAGCAGCACCGAGGAUAGCCACCUUAAAAGAUGAAGCACGAGGCUGGAGUUGAUUUGUGGAUUGCUGCAUUGGUAUGGCUCUUGGGACGAAAGAUAGAGAAGCAACGCUUUCCUUGCCCAAAAAUGACGACUCUGAGUCGAGUUUAACAGAUGAUGCUGCCUUCAGACCACUGAAACUCUUGAAGGAGUUUGGGGUGCUGAAACUCAACCCGCAUAGCUUAGCUUUUG